RNAcentral lists this ribosomal RNA (470 nucleotides) under uncultured bacterium. RNAcentral describes it as "bacterial SSU rRNA". It matches the Rfam family "Bacterial small subunit ribosomal RNA", at positions 28 to 518 of the family's 1533-position model. The record is from RNAcentral.
AAUGAACGUUGGCGGCGUGGAUUAGGCAUGCAAGUCGAACGGGCCGCAAGGCCAGUGGCGCAAGGGUGAGUAAGGCGACGGUAACCAACCCCACGGGUGGGUAUAGCCGCGGGAAACUGCGGGUAAUCCCCAGCGAUGCACACGACCGGCAUCAGUUGUGUGCCAAAGUUCCGGCGCCGUGGGACGGGCCGUCGUGGUAUUAGGUAGUUGGCGGGGUAACGGCCCACCAAGCCGACGAUGCCUACCGGGCGUGCGAGCGUGGCCCGGCACACUGGGACUGAGACACUGCCCAGACUCCUACGGGAGGCUGCAGUCGAGAAUCUUCGGCAAUGGGCGCAAGCCUGACCGAGCGACGCCGCGUGGAGGACGAAGGCCUUCGGGUUGUAAACUCCUGUCGAGGGGAAAGAAGGUCCGCAAGGGCUUGACUGAUCCCUGGAGGAAGCACGGGCUAAGUUCGUGCCAGCAGCCGC